This 253-nucleotide ribosomal RNA is filed under the name uncultured bacterium. RNAcentral's name for it is "partial 16S ribosomal RNA". It matches the Rfam family "Bacterial small subunit ribosomal RNA", at positions 524 to 776 of the family's 1533-position model. The record is from RNAcentral.
UACAGAGGUGGCAAGCGUUGUUCGGAAUUACUGGGCGUAAAGGGCGCGUAGGCGGCCAUCUAAGUCAGACGUGAAAUCCCCCGGCUUAACCUGGGAACUGCGUCUGAUACUGGACGGCUUGAGUGCGGGAGAGGGAUGUGGAAUUCCAGGUGUAGCGGUGAAAUGCGUAGAUAUCUGGAGGAACACCGGUGGCGAAGGCGACAUCCUGGACCGGUAUUGACGCUGAGGCGCGAAAGCCAGGGGAGCAAACGGG